UACGUAGGGGGGCAAGCGUUGUCCGGAAUCAUUGGGCGUAAAAGCGCGUGUAGGCGGCUCGAUAAGUCUGCUGUGAAAGUUCAGGGCUCAACCCUGAAAUGCCGGUGGAAACUGUCGGGCUAGAGUCCGGAAGAGGCGAGUGGAAUUCCUGGUGUAGCGGUGAAAUGCGCAGAUAUCAGGAGGAACACCAAUGGCGAAGGCAGCUCGCUGGGACGGUACUGACGCUGAGACGCGAAAGCGUGGGAGCAAACAGG
This 254-nucleotide ribosomal RNA is filed under the name uncultured bacterium. RNAcentral describes it as "partial 16S ribosomal RNA". It matches the Rfam family "Bacterial small subunit ribosomal RNA", at positions 524 to 776 of the family's 1533-position model. The record is from RNAcentral.